RNAcentral lists this ribosomal RNA (149 nucleotides) under Metazoa environmental sample. RNAcentral describes it as "partial small subunit ribosomal RNA". It matches the Rfam family "Eukaryotic small subunit ribosomal RNA", at positions 1294 to 1461 of the family's 1831-position model. The record is from RNAcentral. Lineage: Eukaryota; Metazoa.
UUAGUUGGUGGAGCGAUUUGUCUGGUUAAUUCCGAUAACGAACGAGACUCUAUUCUGCUAAAUAGUUACGCGACCCUGUCGGUCGGCGUUGUUGAACUUCUUAGAGAGACUAGUGGCGUUUAGCCACACGAGAUUGAGCAAUAACAGGU